This 420-nucleotide ribosomal RNA is filed under the name uncultured bacterium. RNAcentral describes it as "bacterial SSU rRNA". It matches the Rfam family "Bacterial small subunit ribosomal RNA", at positions 114 to 518 of the family's 1533-position model. The record is from RNAcentral.
CACGUGGACAAUCUGCCCCCCGGCCCGGGAUAGCCCAGGGAAACCUGGAGUUAAUACCGGAUGAGACGGGACCCGCGAUGGCGGGAUCCGGGAAAGGCGCUGCGGCGCCGCCGGGGGAUGAGUCUGCGUCCCAUUAGCUAGACGCGGGGUAAGGCCCACCGUGGCGACGACUGGGUAGCCGGCCUGAGAGGGUGGACGGCCACAUUGGAACUGAGACACGGUCCAGACUCCUACGGGAGGCAGCAGCUAAGAAUCUUCCGCAAUGGGCGAAAGCCUGACGGAGCGAACCGCCGCGUGAACGAAGAAGGCCGUGAGGGUUGUAAAGUUCUUUUCGGGAGGGGGAACAACCGUGGCAGGGAAUGGCCGCGGGAUGACGUGAAUCCCGGAAUAAGCCCCGGCUAACUACGUGCCAGCCGCCGC